Molecule: ribosomal RNA, 492 nt
Filed under: uncultured bacterium
Lineage: Bacteria
Description: partial 16S ribosomal RNA
Rfam family: Bacterial small subunit ribosomal RNA
Source: RNAcentral
AGUGAACGCUGGCGGUAUGCCUAAUACAUGCAAGCCGAACGGCAGCACAGUAAGAUUGUGCUCCUACCGGUGGCGACUGGCGGAUGGGUGAGGCAUACAUCGGCAUCUACUUUUUCGUGGGUGAUUUCGUAGAGACACUUACGCUAAUACCGCAUACGACCUACGGGUUAAAUCAGUGGAUCUUCGCACCUUUCGCGAUUCAAUGAGCCGAUGUCGGAUUAGCUAGUUGGCUGGGUAAAGGCCCACCAAGGCAACGAUCCGUAGCUGGUCUGAGAGGAUGAUCAGCCACACUGGAACUGAGACACGGUCCAGACUCCUACGGGAGGCAGCAGUAGGGAAUAUUGGACAAUGGGCGAAAGCCUGAUGCAGCCAUGCCGCGUGAGUGAAGAAGGUCUUCGGGUUGUAAAACCCUUUUGUUAGGAAAGAAAAGAAGUGGGUGAAUACACGGAUGUUCUGACGGUACCUAAAGAGUAAGCAACGGCUAACUACGUG